GGAAUUACUUGGGCGUAAAGCGUUCGUAGGCGGUUAUUUAANGUUAGAUGUGAAAGCCCCGGGCUUAACCUGGGAACUGCAUUUAAAACUGGAUAACUCGAGUUUAGGAGAGGGAAGUGGAAUUUCAGGUGUAGCAGUGAAAUGCGUAGAGAUCUGAAGGAACACCAGUGGCGAAGGCGACUUCCUGGACUAAAACUGACGCUGAGGAACGAAAGCGUGGGUAGCAAACGGGAUUAGAUACCCCGGUAGUCCACGCCGUAAACGAUGUCAACUAGCCGUUGGGCCUAUAUACAGGUUUAGUGGCGGAGCUAACGUAUUAAGUUGACCGCCUGGGGAGUACGGCCGCAAGGUUAAAACUCAAAUGAAUUGACGGGGGCCCGCACAAGCGGUGGAGCAUGUGGUUUAAUUCGAUGCAACGCGAAGAACCUUACCUACCCUUGACAUCCAGAGAAUCUGUUAGAGAUAGUAGAGUGCCUUCGGGAACUCUGAGACAGGUGCUGCAUGGCUGUCGUCAGCUCGUGUCGUGAGAUGUUGGGUUAAGUCCCGUAACGAGCGCAACCCUUAUCCUUAGUUGCUAGCAGGUCAAGCUGAGAACUCUAAGGAGACUGCCGGUGAUAAACCGGAGGU
This 627-nucleotide ribosomal RNA is filed under the name uncultured bacterium. RNAcentral describes it as "bacterial SSU rRNA". It matches the Rfam family "Bacterial small subunit ribosomal RNA", at positions 547 to 1170 of the family's 1533-position model. The record is from RNAcentral.